GGAGGAUUCGCCUAGUGGCCUAGGGCGCACGCUUGGAAAGCGUGUUGGGAUAAAACCCUCACGAGUUCGAAUCUCGUAUCCUCCGCCG
Molecule: transfer RNA, 88 nt
Filed under: Actinoplanes sp. SE50/110
Lineage: Bacteria; Bacillati; Actinomycetota; Actinomycetes; Micromonosporales; Micromonosporaceae
Also listed under: 1 other name
Description: tRNA-Ser
Rfam family: tRNA
About the family: Transfer RNA (tRNA) molecules are approximately 80 nucleotides in length.
Source: RNAcentral